This 486-nucleotide ribosomal RNA is filed under the name uncultured bacterium. RNAcentral's name for it is "partial 16S ribosomal RNA". It matches the Rfam family "Bacterial small subunit ribosomal RNA", at positions 28 to 507 of the family's 1533-position model. The record is from RNAcentral.
GAUGAACGCUGGCGGCGUGCCUAAUACAUGCAAGUCGAACGCUGGAGAUCUAGCUUGCUAGAUCGGAGGAGUGGCGAACGGGUGCGUAAUACAUAAGCAACCUACCCACGAAGACUGGGAUAAUCUCUGGAAACGGGGACUAAUACCGGAUAGGUAAUCGGAAGGCAUCUUCUGGUUAUUAAAGGUUAAAAACACUGGUGGAUGGGCUUAUGGCGCAUUAGUUAGUUGGUGAGGUAACGGCCCACCAAGACGAAGAUGCGUAGCCGGGCUGAGGAGGUGAACGGCUACAUUGGGACUGAGGCACAGCCCAGACUGCUACGGAGCGCAGCAGUAGGGAAGUUACUGCAAUGAGGCCUACCCUGACCGAGCAACGCCGCGUGAGUGAAGACGGCCUUCGGGUUGUAAAGCUCUGUUGUAAGGAAAGAACGGUAGAUAGAGAAUAUCUAAGUGACGGUACCUUACCAGAAAGCCACGGCUAACUACGUG